Molecule: ribosomal RNA, 140 nt
Filed under: uncultured bacterium
Lineage: Bacteria
Also listed under: 3 other names
Description: partial 16S ribosomal RNA
Rfam family: Bacterial small subunit ribosomal RNA
Source: RNAcentral
UGGGGAAUAUUGCACAAUGGGCGGAAGCCUGAUGCAGCAACGCCGCGUGCGGGAUGACGGCCUUCGGGUUGUAAACCGCUUUCGCCUGUGACGAAGCGUGAGUGACGGUAAUGGGUAAAGAAGCACCGGCUAACUACGUG